GACGAACGCUGGCGGCGUGCUUAACACAUGCAAGUCGAACGGAAAGGCCCUGCUUUUGUGGGGUGCUCGAGUGGCGAACGGGUGAGUAACACGUGAGUAAACUGCCCUUGACUUUGGGAUAAAUUCAGGAAACUGGGGCUAAUACCGGAUAGGAGCUCCUGCUGCAUGGUGGGGGUUGGAAAGUUUCGGCGGUUGGGGAUGGACUGGCGGCUUAUCAGCUUGUUGGGGGGGUAGUGGCUUACCAAGGCUUUGACGGGUAGCCGGCCUGAGAGGGUGACCGGCCACAUUGGGACUGAGAGACGGCCCAGACUCCUACGGGAGGCAGCAGUGGGGAAUUUUGCACAAUGGGCGGAAGCCUGAUGCAGCAACGCCGCGUGCGGGAUGACGGCCUUCGGGUUGUAAACCGCUUUCGCCUGUGACGAAGCGUGAGUGACGGUAAUGGGUAAAGAAGCACCGGCUAACUACGUG
RNAcentral lists this ribosomal RNA (468 nucleotides) under uncultured bacterium. Its description in RNAcentral is "partial 16S ribosomal RNA". It matches the Rfam family "Bacterial small subunit ribosomal RNA", at positions 28 to 507 of the family's 1533-position model. The record is from RNAcentral.